This 86-nucleotide transfer RNA is filed under the name Planctomyces sp. Its description in RNAcentral is "tRNA-Leu". It matches the Rfam family "tRNA". From Rfam's summary of the family: Transfer RNA (tRNA) molecules are approximately 80 nucleotides in length. Their secondary structure includes four short double-helical elements and three loops (D, anti-codon, and T loops). Lineage: Bacteria; Pseudomonadati; Planctomycetota; Planctomycetia; Planctomycetales; Planctomycetaceae. The record is from RNAcentral. RNAcentral also lists the same sequence under 2 other names.
GCGCAAGUGGCGAAAUUGGCAGACGCGCUAGCUUCAGGAGCUAGUGGGAGUUAAAUCCCAUGCAGGUUCAAGUCCUGUCUUGCGCA